This is an RNA transcript of Rana temporaria (common frog), 7900 nucleotides long. It is a transcript of the gene named integrin subunit alpha 11, with no coding region annotated. The transcript has 32 exons. The record is from RefSeq and is a predicted model, not a curated record. NCBI's taxonomy places the organism in Eukaryota, Metazoa, Chordata, Amphibia, Anura, Ranidae.
ACUCCAAAGUUUUGGGAGCCAGGGAAUCACGGAGACUGAAGUGGGAAAGUGGCAGCUGCUCCUCCGGCUACCGGUCUGGCAGAGGGAUCAGAGUCUGGAGUAUGGACCACUGGAGAGGACUUCUGGCCACCUGGGUGGUGUGCCUUCUCCUAGGUCUCACUGACGCCUUCAAUAUCGACGACAAGAAACCGCGGAUAAUCCCCGGCUCCAAGGACGCCUUUUUCGGAUACACAAUACGGCAGCAUCAGGUCGCUGGCAAAAAAUGGUUGGUGGUUGGAGCCCCCUUCGAUCAGAAUGGCGCACAGAAGACAGGUGACAUAUACAGAUGUUCCCUCGCCAACGACACAACCAAUGACUGUACCAAGCUUGGAAUUGGCAGGGUGACGCUGUCCAACGUGUCGGAACGAAAGGACAACAUGCGGUUGGGAAUGAGCUUAGUCACCAAUCCUAAAGACAAUAGCUUUGUGGCCUGCAGUCCAUUGUGGUCUCAUGAGUGUGGAAGCUCCUAUUAUACAACUGGGAUGUGCUCCAGAGUCAACGCCAACUUCCGAUUCUCAAGAAUUGUGGCCCCUGCACUGCAAAGGUGUCCAACUUUCAUGGAUAUUGUUAUUGUUCUGGACGGAUCAAACAGCAUUUACCCAUGGUCAGAGGUCCAGGGUUUUCUCAUCAGUAUUCUUCAGAAGUUCUACAUUGCUCCGGGUCAGAUUCAGGUGGGGGUAUUGCAGUACGGGGAAGAGGUGGUCCACGAGUUUCACUUGAAUGACUUCCGCUCAGUGAAUGAGGUGGUGGAGGCCGCAAAACGCAUUGAGCAGAGGGGAGGAACAGAGACUCGAACUGCACUGGGCAUUGAGAAGGCGUGCACAGAGGCAUUUCAGCGCGGUGGAAGAAAGGGAGCCAAAAAAGUGAUGAUUGUGAUUACCGAUGGAGAAUCUCAUGACAGCCCUGACCUGCAGAGGGUGAUAGAGACCAGCGAACGAGAAAACAUAACCCGCUAUGCUGUGGCUGUCCUUGGAUAUUACAAUAGAAGAGGGAUUAAUCCUAAAGCUUUCCUAAAUGAAAUCAAAUAUAUUGCCAGUGACCCGGAUGACAAGCACUUCUUCAAUGUGACAAAUGAAGCCGCAUUAAAGGACAUUGUGGAUGCACUUGGGGAAAGGAUUUUCAGUCUGGAAGGAGGGACCAAUAAGAAUGAGACGUCCUUUGGGCUUGAGAUGUCCCAGGCUGGGUUUUCAUCCCAUGUGGUAGAGGAUGGGAUAUUGCUGGGAGCGGUUGGAGCAUACGACUGGAAUGGAGCUGUUCUCAAAGAGACCAGCAGCGGGAAGGUGAUUCCUCGGAGAGAGUCUUACCUAAGGGAGUUUCCGGAUGAGCUCAAGAACCAUGGAGCAUACCUUGGCUACACGGUCACGUCUCUAAUGACACCGCAACGCGUCAGGCUGUAUGUAUCAGGAGCUCCGCGAUUUAAUCAUACGGGGAAGGUGAUCAUCUUCAGCAUGCAAGGCAUGGACAAUCUUGUCAUCCAUCAGUCUCUACAAGGGGAACAGAUCGGGUCAUAUUUUGGCAGUGAAAUUGGCUCUGUAGAUGUGGACGGUGAUGGGGUGACGGACGUGCUGUUGGUUGGAGCUCCGAUGUUCUUCAGUGAAGCGAGGGAGCGCGGCCGUGUCUCUGUAUAUGUCGUAAGAGAGAAACGCUUUGUUCCAGAUGGAGCUUUGCGUGACUCGGACAGCUCACAAAAUUCACGCUUUGGAUAUGCCAUCUCUGCAGUGCCAGACCUAAACCAAGACUCUUUCAAUGACGUGGUGAUCGGGGCACCUCUAGAAGAUGGCCAUAAGGGUGCCAUUUAUAUCUUCCAUGGAUUCAAGAGAAACAUAUUGAAGAAAUACAAACAGCGCAUUGCUGCAGCAGACUUGUCACCCACACUGGCCUAUUUCGGCUGCAACAUUCAUGGAGAGAUGGAUAUGAACGAGGAUGGCCUGGUGGAUCUGGCGGUGGGCUCUAUGGGAAAUGCUGUUCUUCUCUGGACUCGCAGCGUUGUGCAGAUUAAUGCGACCAUUCGAUUCGAGCCGCCGAAGAUCAACAUUUUCAGUAAAGAGUGCCACAGGAAUGGACGGGAAGCCACUUGCAUGGCGGCAUUCAUCUGCUUCUCUCCAAUAUUUAAAGCACCCCAGUUCCAGGGGCAGAGUGUGGGUAUUAAGUACAAUGUGACCAUUGAUGAGCGUAGAUACACCCCCCGUGCUGUGAUUGAUGACAUCGGAGGAGAUAAACACUUCAUUGAAACCAUCAGGGCCAAAAGUGGGCAUAAUCAGUGCCAGCAGCUCAAUUUCCACGUUCUGGACACGGCAGACUACGUGAAGCCCAUCACCUUUUCUAUGGAGUACGAGUUGGCAUUCCCCGACCAGGGACCAGUGCUAGAGGAAGGAUGGCCAUCAUCUCUAAAAGCAUCGGUUCCAUUCUGGAAUGGGUGUAACCAGGAUGAGCGCUGCGUCCCCGACCUCCACUUGGAUGUGAAGCACGAUAUCCCGACUGCAAUGGAGUUCUGCCAGCGCUCUCUGCGGAGGACCCCAUCAGACUGCAAUACCUUCACUCGAUCAUUUGACAACUCAGUAUUCAUCAUUGAAGGAAGCAGAAGGCGAGUGGCCCUGGAAGUGACACUUGAGAACCGAGGGGAGAACGCAUACAGCACCGUGCUCAAUAUUUCCCACUCUCCAAACCUCCAGUUUGCAAGCUUGAUCCAAAAGGAGGAGUCAGACAUCAAGAUUGAGUGCAAGAAUGACGAACGGAUUCCAUACAGCAAGAUGUGCAAUAUCAGCUUCCCAUUCUUCAGAGCAAAAGCCAAGGUGGCAUUUCGGCUUGACUUCGAAUUCAGUAAAUCUGUGUUUCUUCCAUCUUUGCAGAUCCAUCUAGUAGCAAGCAGUGACAGUGAAGAACUGGAGAGUACAAUCGCUGAUAACGAGGUUCUGCUGAAUUUCAACCUCAAGUAUGAGUCGGACCUCCUAUUCACCAGAUACUCCAGUCUGGACCAGUAUGAGAUCACAUCCCAAGGGUCAGCUGACAGAUACAAUGCUAUUGGGCCCCCAUUCAACUGCUCUUUUAAGAUACAGAAUCUGGGCUUCUUCCCUGAGGAUAUCACAGUGAAGAUCACCAUUCCGGUGGCAACUCGCGGUGGUAAUCGUCUGCUCCUCUUACAACAGCUGACCAAUGACCAGGGGAAUGAAAGCUGUAACGUUUGGGGAAAUAGCACAGAUUACCGCAGGAGGCCAUCGGAGGAGGACAUCAGCCACAUACCUCAGCUGAAUCACAGUAACUCCGAUGUUGUAUCCAUUGAUUGCACUAUGAGCCUGGCGUCCAAUCAGGAAGCAGCACUCACCCUCCAUGGGAGAUUGUGGAGCAGAACAUUCCAAACGAUUAAAUUCCGCUCUGUGAACCUGGUGACUAUCGCGGUAUUGCAACGGAAAUUCCAGAGUCCGUUUAUAUUCCGGGAGGAAGAGCCCACCCGCCAGAUUGUACUGGAAAUUUCCAAGCAGGAAGAAUGGGAAGUUCCUAUAUGGAUUAUCAUCAUCAGUACAAUAGGUGGACUGUUGCUGUUGGCUCUCCUAGUGCUGGCCCUUUGGAAGUUGGGAUUCUUCAAACGCAGUCACCACGAGAGGGAGGAAGAAGAUGAAGCGCUAGAGUGAAGUCGAGGAAAGCUGAGCGGUCAGCCGCAGCCCGCGCACGUGACCUAUAUAUUCACACCUAUAGGGGGGCCAGAGGGAGAAGCUGGCUGGAGAUCUGACGAUAGAAGACAAAUGGACAGAUGCCUUCUUGCACAAGACUGAGCCGGUAGCUCUGACUUCACCAGCAGACGCUACCUCAAGGGAACAGAACGAACGAGCUCCCGCUUCCACCUUCGGCCUCUAUUUAUUUCUAUUGAUCGGGACGUUCGCUGAACUUUAAGCCAUAAGAACUGAAAAAAAAGCUCUGACAGGUUCUGCUCAGGGAUCAACCAACUUCGUCACCACCGAUCGGUGGAGACCCAUAUCCGUGUCCCUGGACUCCUCCGUGUCUGAAAUCAUUCCUUUUGUGUUUUCUAGUUGUUUUAUUUUUUUAUUUUUAUUGGUUUAAUAUUAGCAUGCCACUGUAACCUGGCCUGAGGAAGAGGAUGACGCAACGCGUUUGGUGGGGAUCGGAUAAAGUUGUUUCUGGAUGUUUCUAUUUUACGGUGGCCUGUGCAACUUCUUGGUUUGAUGUUUUUUUUAGGGUUUUUUUUUUUUCCUUUGUACCCCCGGAUAUUUAUAAAGAAGAAAAGAAAAUCGGGGGAGGGGCUUUUAAAGAGGAGAGAAUUUUUGGAAUAAGAAUACAAAUAGCAAAUUUUACAAAGGAAGAGGGAGAGGCUUGUAACUAUGUAUCAAUUUUUAUAGCGCCAUACUCAUCCUUAAAGCCCCCAAAUUUUAUAUAUUGCAGCUUACCAAUCAUUAGAUGUGGUGGCCGCGUUUUAUUUUAUUUUCUUUAGGCUUUUUUCUCCUCUUUUUUUUCACCUGGUGAUCUGGCCAAUAACACACCUCAUGUAUUAGAGCGCCACCCCCACCCCACUCUGGAUGAAGGCGCACGGGAGGCACCUUCUUGGACUGCAGUAUUGUCAUUCUGGGGAGAGGGGAGGGGGUUAAAUGUACUGGCAGUUUUAAAUACACUAACAAAUUCGAGCCAAACUCCAGCUAAUAUUUUAUAAUCAGAAGUUUUGUUAUUUUUGGGAUAAAGGUUUUACAUGAAUAAAAAAAAAAAGCGGAUUGUUUGUAAUCACCCCCUGACAGUUGUAAAUGGUUUGUCUCAUCAAUGUAAACUGAUACAUCUGCAGAAUAGCUUGUGUUUUCGAAAAACAGACUUAUUGGUCAGAUCACCAGAUAGAAAUAGAAGAAAAAAAGCCUAAAAAAAAAGAAAACAAAUGCAGCCACCACAUCUAAGAAUUGGUAAGCUGCAAGAUAAUAAAUGUUUGCUUUUGGGUUUAUUACCACUUUAAGUUUUAAUAAGAACCGCAUACCAUUGUUCAAUCUGAAAAAAAAGUCUUCAUAUAGAAGAGCUAGAGACACUAACACAGUCCACAUCCGGGACCGUCCCCCCCCCCCCUUAACCUAUUUUAUGAAAGUAGCUGGAUACAGGGCAGAAACAGGAUAACGGCAAGGAGUAUCAGGCAGCAAGCAAAACACUAGUAGGGGAGGACCUAAAUACCCUCCCAGCAGCCAGCAUCAGGUGGAAACUGAUUACUGUAGAGGAGGACCUAAAUACCCUCCCAGCAGCCAGCAUCAGGUGGAAACUGAUUACUGGGAUCUGCUGGCUGCUCAGAGACACUCGCUGGUGGACUCGGGAACUACAUCCUUCUGCUAUGGGAAGCACAGUGCCACCAGCAGGCGAUCCAGGUCCUGACAGAUACGCCGGCAGCAUUGGGCAUAAUGACCACUACGGGGGGUGGCUGGGAUAUUUGUAGUUAGUUCACCUUUUAAUUUUUUAUGGAAAGGUGAACUAUUGUUCAAUCUGAAAAAAGGUCUUUACUGGUGUAUCAUAUAGAACAGCUAGACACUAACACGGUCCACAUCCGGAACUGUUCACCCCUUAACGCAUUUCACCAAAGUAGCUUGAUUGCAAGGCAGCAGGAUACAGGACAGAAACAGGACAAUGGUGAGCAGUAUCAGGCAGCAAGCAAAACACUAGUAGGGGAGGACCUAAAUACCCUCCCAGCAGCCAGCAUCAGGUGGAAACUGAUUUCUGUAGAGGAGGACCUAAAUACCCUCCCAGCAGCCAGCAUCAGGUGGAAACUGAUUACUGGGAUCUGCUGGCUGCUGGGAGACACCCACUCGCUGGUGGACUCAGGAACUACAUCCCUCUGCUAUAGGAAGCACAGUGCCACUGGCAGGCGAUCCAGGUCCUGACAGCUACACCGGCAGCAUUGGGCAUAAUGACCACUAGGGGGGGGGGGGGUGGCUGGGAUAUUUGUAGUUAGUUCACCUUUUCAUUUUUUAUGGAAAGGUGAACUAUUGAUUGUUCAAUCUGAAAAAAGGUCUUUACUGGUGUAUCAUAUAGAAGAGCUAGACACUAACACGGUCCACAUCCGGGACUGUUCCCCCCUUAACGCAUUUCACCAAAGUAGCUUGAUUGCAAGGCAGCAGGAUACAGGGCAGAAACAGGACAAUGGCGAGCAGUAUCAGGCAGCAAGCAAAACACUAGUAGGGGAGGACCUAAAUACCCUCCCAGCAGCCAGCAUCAGGUGGAAACUGAAUACUGGGAUCUUCUGGCUGUUGGGAGACACUCGCUGGUGGACUCGGGAACUAAAUCCUUCCGCUAUGGGAAGCACAGUGCCACCAGCAGGCGAUCCAGGUCCUGACAGCUACACCGGCAGCAUUGGGCAUAACGACCACUACGUGCUCCAGAGACCAGAGGGGGGGGGAUGGCUGGGAUAUUUGGAGUUAGUUCACCUUUUCAUUUUUCAUGGAAAGGUGAACUAUUGUUUAAUCUAAAAAAAGGGUCUUUACUGAUGUAUCGUAGAACAGCAAGACACUAACACGGUCCACAUCUAGGACCACUCCCCGUUAACGCAUUUCACCAACGUAGCUUGAUUGCAAGGCAGCAGGAUGCAGUGUACAAGCCAGGUACAGGAUAACAGUGAGCAGUAUCUGGCAGCAAGCAAAACACUGGGGAGAGAGGAACUAGUAGGGGAGGACCUAAAUACCCUCCCAGCAGCCAGCAUCAGGUGGAAACUGAUUACUGUAGAGGAGGACCUAAAUACCCUCCCAGCAGCCAGCAUCAGGUGGAAACUGAUUACUGGGAUCUGCUGGCUGCUGGGAGACACCCACUCGCUGGUGGACUCAGGAACUACAUCCCUCUGCUAUAGGAAGCUCAGUGCCACCGGCAGGCGAUCCAGGUCCUGACAGCUACACCGGCAGCAUUGGGCAUAAUGACCACUACGAGGGGGGGGAGGGUGGCUGGGAUAUUUGUAGUUAGUUCACCUUUUCAUUUUUUAUGGAAAGGUGAACUAUUGAUUGUUCAAUCUGAAAAAAGGUCUUUACUGGUGUAUCAUAUAGAACAGCUAGACACUAACACGGUCCACAUCCGGGACUGUUCCCCCCCUUAACGCAUUUCACCAAAGUAGCUUGAUUGCAAGGCAGCAGGAUACAGGGCAGAAACAGGACAAUGGCGAGCAGUAUCAGGCAGCAAGCAAAACACUAGUAGGGGAGGACCUAAAUACCCUCCCAGCAGCCAGCAUCAGGUGGAAACUGAAUACUGUAGAGGAUGACCUAAAUACCCUCCCAGCAGCCAGCAUCAGGUGGAAACUGAAUACUGUAGAGGAGGACCUAAAUUCCCUCCCAGCAGCCAGCAUCAGGUGGAAACUGAAUACUGUAGAGGAGGACCUAAAUUCCCUCCCAGCAGCCAGCAUCAGGUGGAAACUGAAUACUGGGAUCUUCUGGCUGUUGGGAGACACUCGCUGGUGAACUCGGGAACUACAUCCUUCCGCUAUGGGAAGCACAGUGCCACCAGCAGGCGAUCCAGGUCCUGACAGCUACACCGGCAGCAUUGGGCAUAAUGACCACUACAGGGGGGGGGGGGGUGGCUGGGAUAUUUGUAGUUAGUUCACCUUUUCAUUUUUUAUAGAAAGGUGAACUAUUGUUUAAUCUGAAAAAAGGUCUUUACUGGUGUAUCAUAUAGAACAGCUAGACACUAACAUGGUUCACAUCCGGGACUGUUCCCCCCUUAACGCAUUUCACCAAAGUAGCUUGAUUGCAAGGCAGCAGGAUACAGGGCAGAAACAGGACAAUGGCGAGCAGUAUCAGGCAGCAAGCAAAACGCUAGUAGGGGAGGACCUAAAUACCCUCCCAGCAGCCAGCAUCAGGUGGAAACUGAAUACUGUAGAGGAUGACCUAAAUACCCUCCCAGCAGCCAG